RNAcentral lists this long non-coding RNA (1067 nucleotides) under Crocodylus porosus (Australian saltwater crocodile). RNAcentral's name for it is "lncRNA (ENSCPRG00005012169.1)". Lineage: Eukaryota; Metazoa; Chordata; Crocodylia; Crocodylidae. The record is from RNAcentral.
CUGCUGUGUGCUGUUAUAUGCUCAGUGCCACUUGCUAUAGGGUUGCAUACAGCUGUGUGGGGGGGCUUUAUUUUUGAUACCCACCCUUGACUACCCCCUGCUGCAGGGGCUUGCCCCAGCCCCACACAAUACCCUAGCCUGCAGCUGGCAUGCAAGUCUGUGCCCCCAGACAGGUGGGCUUCAUGUGGGCAGGAAGUAGCUGGGACUUGCCCCCCAUGCUUGGGGUAAGUGGGGCCUGAGAAGCAGGAGCAGUGGGCUGCUGCACCAGACCAUGAAACAAUUGUGUGUACAUACAUCUGUGUAUGUAUAGGUAUGUGCAUAUAUGUGUAGAUACAUGUGUGUGCAUGUGUAUAGGUAUGGAUGUGUAUAUGUGUAUGUAUAUGUCUAUAUAAGUGUAUGUAUAUGUAUGUGUCCAUAUGUAUGGAUAUAUGUCCGUCUGUGUGUAUAUGUAUGGAUGUGUCUAUGCAUGUGUGUAUGCACAAGUGGCGCAUGUAUGUAUGUGUGUCUGUAUAUAUGGAUAUGUCUGUGUAUAUGUGUAUGUGUGCCUGUAUGCAUGUGUAUGCACAAGUGUGGAUGUAUUAUGUAUGUGUGUAUCUAUACAGGUAUAUGCAUGUGUCUAUAUGUAGGGAUAUGUCUAUGUAUUGGAGCAUAUGUGUGCAUAUGCCUGUGUCUGUGUAUGCAUGUGUGUAUAUGUGUGGCUAGGUCUAUGUACAUGCACAUGUAUGUAUGUGUCCACGUAUGCCCACGUGAAUGCAUAUGCACAUAUGCGCGUGCGUAUCUAUGUGCAUACACGUGCAGGUACAGAUUUGCCAGACAUGCACAGACAAAUGCACACCCAUGCAUCCCCCGGGGGGCCGUGUGCGCCCCUAAUGCAUACAUAAGUGCGUGUGCCUGUGCAAGCCUGUGUGCGCGCCCAGGGCCUGCGCGCGCGGGCGGACGGUCGCACUGGGACCCCUGCCGGGCAGGGCAGAGCAGGGUGAAGCCCCCCCUGGCCCUCACGCGCAUGCGCCGGGGGCGUGCGGGCGCGGUGCGGUGCGGUGCGGGCGUUGAGGGCGGGGGCCGCCCGG